This 225-nucleotide long non-coding RNA is filed under the name Trifolium pratense (red clover). RNAcentral describes it as "long non-coding RNA (TPRA_LNC005982)". Lineage: Eukaryota; Viridiplantae; Streptophyta; Magnoliopsida; Fabales; Fabaceae. The record is from RNAcentral.
ACUUUUUAACAUCAAACCCAUUAGCUUGAAGACCAUCAAAAUCAACCAUCUUCUCUGAAAGAAAAGUAAGUUCAGAUUCUGGGAAUUCCAUCUCGUUCCCAACAAUCUGAAGGUUCUUGAAUAUGAACGGUGGAAUCCUUUUUGAUGAAGAAGAUGAAGUACCAGCCAUUUUGUUGGAGAUUAGGGUAAGGUUUGGAAAGACUAACGAGAGAGAAAGAAAGUUUG